ACGGGUGAGUAAUACAUCGGGACGUGUCCUGUAGUGGGGGAUAGCCCGGCGAAAGCCGGAUUAAUACCGCAUACGCUCUACGGAGGAAAGGGGGGGAUCUUAGGACCUCCCGCUACAGGGGCGGCCGAUGGCAGAUUAGCUAGUUGGUGGGGUAAAGGCCUACCAAGGCGACGAUCUGUAGCUGGUCUGAGAGGACGACCAGCCACACUGGGACUGAGACACGGCCCAGACUCCUACGGGAGGCAGCAGUGGGGAAUUUUGGACAAUGGGGGCAACCCUGAUCCAGCAAUGCCGCGUGUGUGAAGAAGGCCUUCGGGUUGUAAAGCACUUUUGUCCGGAAAGAAAACGCCGUGGUUAAUACCCGUGGCGGAUGACGGUACCGGAAGAAUAAGCACCGGCUAACUACGUGCCAGCAGCCGCGGUAAUACGUAGGGUGCAAGCGUUAAUCGGAAUUACUGGGCGUAAAGCGUGCGCAGGCGGUCCGCUAAGACAGAUGUGAAAUCCCCGGGCUUAACCUGGGAACUGCAUUUGUGACUGGCGGGCUAGAGUAUGGCAGAGGGGGGUAGAAUUCCACGUGUAGCAG
Molecule: ribosomal RNA, 583 nt
Filed under: uncultured Burkholderia sp.
Lineage: Bacteria; Pseudomonadati; Pseudomonadota; Betaproteobacteria; Burkholderiales; Burkholderiaceae
Description: bacterial SSU rRNA
Rfam family: Bacterial small subunit ribosomal RNA
Source: RNAcentral